GUAGGGUGCAAGCGUUAAUCGGGAAUUACUGGGGCGUAAAGCGUGCGCAGGCGGUUAUGUAAGACAGUUGUGAAAUCCCCCGGGGCUCAACCUGGGGAACUGCAUCUGUGACUGCAUAGCUAGAGUACGGUAGAGGGGGAUGGAAUUCCGCGUGUAGCAGUGAAAUGCGUAGAUAUGCGGAGGAACACCGAUGGCGAAGGCAAUCCCCUGGACCUGUACUGACGCUCAUGCACGAAAGCGUGGGGAGCAAACAGGAUUAGAUACCCUGGUAGUCCACGCCCUAAACGAUGUCAACUGGUUGUUGGGAAUUCACUUUCUCAGUAACGAAGCUAACGCGUGAAGUUGACCGCCUGGGGAGUACGGCCGCAAGGUUG
Molecule: ribosomal RNA, 374 nt
Filed under: uncultured organism
Description: partial 16S ribosomal RNA
Rfam family: Bacterial small subunit ribosomal RNA
Source: RNAcentral